This is a long non-coding RNA of Aphidius gifuensis, 375 nucleotides long. RefSeq lists it as uncharacterized. The transcript has 3 exons. NCBI's taxonomy places the organism in Eukaryota, Metazoa, Arthropoda, Insecta, Hymenoptera, Braconidae. The record is from RefSeq and is a predicted model, not a curated record.
UAUAUAAAAGAAUGCUUCAUCGGGAGUUUCAAUUUAAAAUUAUAUAUUGUAUAUUCUACACACUUUACAUAAAAACGGCAAUGUCUCGUUUACUUUUUUACCUUCUAAUUAUAGCAAUACUUUUUGUAGCAGGUAUGAAUGCAAGAGUAAAUUGUCCUCAGGUCUGUACAUGCCCACCCAUUCCGGGAUGUUCAGAUUGCGGCAUAUGUAUGUCACAAAAAUAAUCAUAAUUAUAUAAUUUUAUUCGACCAAAUAUUUUCAAGGAAUUGCAACGAAAAAGUUAUUCACUUAUUCGCAUUAUGUCAAAUAAUUAAAAAGAAUAUAAAACAUGUGUGGUGUAUAAAAAAAAAAAAUGAAAAAACUAUAUGCAAUAAA